AGACGGUCGGAUGGCCGCUGUUUGCACUUUCGGGUGCCGAUAGAGGAAAGUCCGGGCUCCACGGAGACACGGUGCCGGGUAACGCCCGGCGGAGGCGACUCCAGGGAAAGUGCCACAGAAAGCAAACCGCCCACCGAAGCCUCGGCGUCGGUGGGUAAGGGUGAAAGGGUGCGGUAAGAGCGCACCGCGUCGGCGGUAACGUCGAUGGCAGGGUAAACCCCACCGGGAGCAAGACCAAAUAGGGAUAACGCGUUCUUUGAACAAGCGGGUUUUCGCGCUGUUAUCCGGGUCGGUCGCAUGAGGCGUUCGGUAACGGACGUCCCAGAUGAAUGGUCAUCACCUCUCAUCUUCGGGUGAGAGCGUACAGAACCCGGCUUACAGACCGUCUG
Molecule: RNase P RNA, 389 nt
Filed under: marine eukaryotic metagenome
Description: Bacterial RNase P class A
Rfam family: Bacterial RNase P class A
About the family: Ribonuclease P (RNase P) is a ubiquitous endoribonuclease, found in archaea, bacteria and eukarya as well as chloroplasts and mitochondria.
Source: RNAcentral